This 161-nucleotide ribosomal RNA is filed under the name uncultured bacterium. RNAcentral's name for it is "partial 16S rRNA". It matches the Rfam family "Bacterial small subunit ribosomal RNA", at positions 358 to 511 of the family's 1533-position model. The record is from RNAcentral.
GGAAUCUUCCACAAUGGACGAAAGUCUGAUGGAGCAACGCCGCGUGAGUGAAGAAGGUCUUCGGAUCGUAAAACUCUGUUGUUAGAGAAGAACAUGCAGGAGAGUAACUGUUCUUGUAUUGACGGUAUCUAACCAGAAAGCCACGGCUAACUACGUGCCAG